UCCUAUGGGGCGCAGCAGGCGCGAAACCUUCGCAAUGCGCGAAAGCGCGACGAGGGGAGCCCGAGUGCCCUUCCAUUCGGGAGGGCUUUUCUGGAGCCUAAAAAGCUCCAGGAAUAAGGGCUGGGCAAGACGGGUGCCAGCCGCCGCGGUAAUACCCGCAGCUCGAGUGGUGGCCACUAUUAUUGAGCCUAAAGCGUCCGUAGCCGGACCCGUAAAUCCCUGGGUAAAUCCUGGCGCUCAACGUCAGGAAUUCCGGGGAGACUGCGGGUCUUGGGACCGGGAGAGGCCGGAGGUACUCCCGGGGUAGGGGUAAAAUCCUGUAAUCCCGGGGGGACCACCUGUGGCGAAAGCGUCCGGCCUGAACGGCUCCGACGGUGAGGGACGAAGGCCAGGGGAGCAAACCGGAUUAGAUACCCGGGUAGUCCUGGCUGUAAACGCUGCCCGCUUGGUGUUGUCGGUCUCUCGGGGGCCGGCAGUGCCGGAGCGGAGGUGUUAAGCGGGCCGCUUGGGGAGUACGGCCGCAAGGCUGAAACUUAAAGGAAUUGGCGGGAGAGCACUGUAACGGGAGGAGCGUGCGGUUUAAUUGGAUUCAACGCCGGAAAACUCACCGGGGGCGACCGGCACAUGUGGGCCAGGCUGACGACCUUGCCCGAAUAAGAGCCGGAGAGGUGGUGCAUGGCCAUCGUCAGCUCGUACCGUAGGGCGUUCACUUAAGUGUGAUAACGAGCGAGACCCCCGUCCCCAGUUGCCAUCUGUCCCUCCGGGGGCAGAGCACACUGGGGAGACCGCCAGCGCUAAGCUGGAGGAAGGUGGGGUCAACGGUAGGUCAGUACGCCCCGAAUCCCCCGGGCUACACGCGCGCUACAAAGGGCGGGACAAUGGGUUGCGACCCCGAAAGGGGGAGCUAAUCCUGAAACCCGUCCGUAGUUCAGAUCGAGGGCUGUAACUCGCCCUCGUGAAGCUGGAUUCCGUAGUAAUCGCGGGUCAACAUCCCGCGGUGAAUGCGCCCCUGCUCUUUGCACACACCGCCCGUC
This 1034-nucleotide ribosomal RNA is filed under the name uncultured archaeon. Its description in RNAcentral is "bacterial SSU rRNA". It matches the Rfam family "Archaeal small subunit ribosomal RNA", at positions 321 to 1354 of the family's 1478-position model. The record is from RNAcentral.